GGGGAUUUAGCUUAAUGGAUAAAGCAAGGGUGGCCACAUUAACGAGACCUAAGAUACAGGUUCGAUUCCUGUAAUCUCCA
This 80-nucleotide transfer RNA is filed under the name Chryseobacterium viscerum. Its description in RNAcentral is "tRNA-OTHER". It matches the Rfam family "tRNA". From Rfam's summary of the family: Transfer RNA (tRNA) molecules are approximately 80 nucleotides in length. Their secondary structure includes four short double-helical elements and three loops (D, anti-codon, and T loops). Further hydrogen bonds mediate the characteristic L-shaped molecular structure. tRNAs have two regions of fundamental functional importance: the anti-codon, which is responsible for specific mRNA codon recognition, and the 3' end, to which the tRNAs corresponding amino acid is attached (by aminoacyl-tRNA synthetases). tRNAs cope with the degeneracy of the genetic code in two manners: having more than one tRNA (with a specific anti-codon) for a particular amino acid; and 'wobble' base-pairing, i.e. permitting non-standard base-pairing at the 3rd anti-codon position. The record is from RNAcentral. Lineage: Bacteria; Pseudomonadati; Bacteroidota; Flavobacteriia; Flavobacteriales; Weeksellaceae.